GACGAACGCUGGCGGCGUGCUUAACACAUGUAAGUCGAACGGAAAGGCCCUGCUUUUGUGGGGUGCUCGAGUGGCGAACGGGUGAGUAACACGUGAGUAACCUGCCCUUGACUUUGGGAUAACUUCAGGAAACUGGGGCUAAUACCGGAUAGGAGCUCCUGCUGCAUGGUGGGGGUUGGAAAGUUUCGGCGGUUGGGGAUGGACUCGCGGCUUAUCAGCUUGUUGGUGGGGUAGUGGCUUACCAAGGCUUUGACGGGUAGCCGGCCUGAGAGGGUGACCGGCCACAUUGGGACUGAGAUACGGCCCAGGCUCCUACGGGAGGCAGCAGUGGGGAAUAUUGCACAAUGGGCGGAAGCCUGAUGCAGCAACGCCGCGUGCGGGAUGACGGCCUUCGGGUUGUAAACCGCUUUCGCCUGUGACGAAGCGUGAGUGACGGUAAUGGGUAAAGAAGCACCGGCUAACUACGUG
RNAcentral lists this ribosomal RNA (468 nucleotides) under uncultured bacterium. RNAcentral describes it as "partial 16S ribosomal RNA". It matches the Rfam family "Bacterial small subunit ribosomal RNA", at positions 28 to 507 of the family's 1533-position model. The record is from RNAcentral.